Molecule: ribosomal RNA, 406 nt
Filed under: uncultured bacterium
Lineage: Bacteria
Description: partial 16S ribosomal RNA
Rfam family: Bacterial small subunit ribosomal RNA
Source: RNAcentral
AUUGAACGCUGGCGGCAGGCCUAACACAUGCAAGUCGAACGAGUGGCGGACGGGUGAGUAAUGUCUGGGAAACUGCCUGAUGGAGGGGGAUAACUACUGGAAACGGUAGCUAAUACCGCAUACCAUCAGAUGUGCCCAGAUGGGCUUAGCUUGUUGGUGGGGUAACCGCUACCCAAGGCGACGAUCCCUAGCUGGUCUGAGAUGAUGACCGGCCACACGGGAACGGUGACACGGUCCAGCCCCCUACGGUAGGCAGCAGUGGGGCAUAUUGCGCAAUGGGCGCAAGUCUGAUGCAGCCAUGCCGCGUGUAUGAAGAAGGUCUUCGGGUUGUAAAGUACUUUCAGCGGGGAGGCGUUACCCGCAGAAGAAGCACCGGCUAACUCCGUGCCAGCAGCCGCGGUAAUUC